ACGCUCAACACCUACGAGAGGCAGCAGUAGGGAAUCUUCCACAAUGGGCGCAAGCCUGAUGGAGCAACACCGCGUGAGUGAAGAAGGGUUUCGGCUCGUAAAGCUCUGUUGUUGGAGAAGAACGUGCGUGAGAGUAACUGUUCACGCAGUGACGGUAUCCAACCAGAAAGUCACGGCUAACUACGUGCUAGCAGCCGCGGUAAUCUGAGCGGGCUGGCAAGGC
RNAcentral lists this ribosomal RNA (223 nucleotides) under uncultured bacterium. RNAcentral describes it as "partial 16S ribosomal RNA". It matches the Rfam family "Bacterial small subunit ribosomal RNA", at positions 328 to 539 of the family's 1533-position model. The record is from RNAcentral.